This 562-nucleotide ribosomal RNA is filed under the name uncultured archaeon. RNAcentral describes it as "bacterial SSU rRNA". It matches the Rfam family "Archaeal small subunit ribosomal RNA", at positions 733 to 1301 of the family's 1478-position model. The record is from RNAcentral.
AUACCCGGGUAGUCCCAGCUGUAAACGAUGCAGACUAGGUGUUUGGACGGCCACGUGCCGUUCUAGUGCCGCAGGGAAGCUGUUAAGUCUGCCGCCUGGGGAGUACGAUCGCAAGAUUGAAACUUAAAGGAAUUGGCGGGGGAGCACCACAAGGGGUGAAGCUUGCGGUUUAAUUGGAGUCAACGCCGGAAAUCUCACCGGGAGCGACAGCAGUAUGAAGGCCAGAUUAAAGGUCUUGCCAGACGAGCUGAGAGGAGGUGCAUGGCCGUCGCCAGUUCGUGCCGUGAGGUGUCCUGUUAAGUCAGGCAACGAUCGAGACCCGCGUCCACUGUUGCAACUAGCUUUGUGCUGGGCACACUGUGGAGACCGCCACUGAUAAAGUGGAGGAAGGAGCGGGCCACGGCAGGUCAGUAUGCCCCGAAUCUCCCGGGCCACACGCGAGCUGCAAUGGCAGGUACAAUGGGUUCCGACCUCGAAAGGGGAAGGCAAUCUCGAAAGCCUGCCGUAGUUGGGAUCGAGGGCUGUAACCCGUCCUCGUGAACAUGGAAUCCCUAGUAAUCGC